UCAUCAGGUGCGGCGGCAGAGGAGGGUAGGGUUUAAGAGGCUGAAACGGCGCGACCGAUGAUCUCCUUCCCGAACCUGCGGCAGCAGCAGGAGCGGGUACCGCGCGCAGUAGGCUUUCUUGGGGCAGCCGAGGCAGCUAGACGAUCUAGACAGGUUCCUCUCCCUCUCGUCAUCAGCGCAAACCUGCGCUCCUCCCCCUCGUCGGUUGGCGCGGGCCGGUCGCUCGUGGCGCGGCGACGCAGUAUGGACGUACCGGACUACCGCGGGCAGCAGCAGGUCCUCGUCCUCGAGCGUAGUUGCGGGCGGCUGGUGGAGAGGUUCUACUCGGCGAGCAAAAGUGGAGCCAUCAACUAAGUCCACAGCCGCUGCUCGUUCGUGAGGGUCGUUGAGGAGGAGAGUAAGACGAAUCGGAGCGACAGGCGCGGGUGGCUGUCAGGGGACCAACAACGUCCAAACACUCGGAAGCUCCGAAGGUCCACACCGAAAUCAAUUCAAGUCGGGGGAUGUGGGCCCUCUAACCUGUUAAACGGGGUGAAAUGAACCUGUAAUCUACUAAACGGGGUCAAAUGUACCUAAUCUAGUAAACGGGGUGAAAAGUAAAAAGAAAACUACUAAACGGGAAAAGUUAAUGACUUUAGUAAAAGCUUAAAGAUAGGGAAAAAGGGUACGCAUUUCUGUGUUAACGGGGACACCGAUUAAAUGUUAAGAAGAUAUUAGAAGAGACGAAAACCUGACCAGGAUCAAGGUAGCUGCUCGAGUGAUAAGAGCCCUGGGGUGAUAAGAGAUCAAGUUGUGGAAAGGGGACAAGAAGUAAGGGGUUAUUAGUAUGGUGUCCUUCGAUUACCUCCUCCGGCUGCUGCCGUGGAACUGGGGGUAGAACCGUCGUCGCCGGGGCGCGUCGUCGAGGGCGACGUCUAGCAGCCGGGCCACGUGCCACCGAGGUCGACGUCGAGGAGCCGGGCCGCUCCGCCGAGGGCGACGUCGAGCCGUCGAGCCGCCGGGCCGCGCCGUCGAGGGUGACGUCCAGCAGCCGGGCCGCUCCGCCGAGGGCGACGUCGAGGAGCCGGGACCCUCCGCCGAGGGCAACGUCGAGCCGCCAGGUGGCGCCACUUAGGGCGACGUCGAGCCGCCUGGCCGCCCAUGGGCCCCGAGGGCGACGUUGAGCCUCGACGUCUUCCACGCGAGCAACGACCAUUUUUGAUUCAAGAAGAUCACUAAGUACCUAAAUGUUAAAAAAAACACAGACUCGAGUAACGCAACGGCCAUUAUCGGUACCAACCUGCUGUCACAACUAUCAUGAUUAAUGGGAUCGUCGACCAUGAUGAAGUUAGUACCUCGACCCAUGUAACAUAUUUUAUGAAGCAAGUCAAUAGAGGAGGUCUACGAAGUCUGAAAUUAACAUAGUGUGACUUU
This 1413-nucleotide ribosomal RNA is filed under the name Triticum aestivum (bread wheat). RNAcentral describes it as "partial small subunit ribosomal RNA". Lineage: Eukaryota; Viridiplantae; Streptophyta; Magnoliopsida; Poales; Poaceae. The record is from RNAcentral.